Molecule: ribosomal RNA, 553 nt
Filed under: Nothopucciniastrum coryli
Lineage: Eukaryota; Fungi; Basidiomycota; Pucciniomycetes; Pucciniales; Pucciniastraceae
Description: eukaryotic LSU rRNA
Rfam family: Eukaryotic large subunit ribosomal RNA
Source: RNAcentral
AACGGCGAGUGAAGAGGGAAAAGCCCAAAUUUGUAAUCUGGCUCUUUUAGAGUCCGAGUUGUAAUUUUGAGAACUGUUUUCCGUGCUGGACCAUGUACAAGUCUGUUGAAAAACAGCAUCAUUGAGGGUGACAAUCCCGUACAUGAUAUGGACUACCAGUGCAAUGUGAUACAGUCUCUAAGAGUCGAGUUGUUUGGGAAUGCAGCUCAAAGUGGGUGGUAAAUUCCAUCUAAGGCUAAAUAUAGGUGAGAGACCGAUAGCAAACAAGUACCGUGAGGGAAAGAUGAAAAGAACUUUGGAAAGAGAGUUAACAGUACGUGAAAUUGUUAAAAGGGAAACAUUUGAAGUUAGACUUGUUAUUGUUGGUUCAACCUUUUUUUUGAAGGUGUAUUCCAAUGGUUAACAGACCAGCAUCAAUUUUUGGGUGUUGGAUAAGGGUCUUGGAAAUGUGGCAACCUUGGUUGUGUUAUAGUCCUUGACUUUGAUACAAUGCUUAGGAUUGAGGAACGCAGUAAGCUUUGUAUUAAGCAGAUCUUUUUAGAUCUCCUUACUA